Long non-coding RNA from Daphnia pulicaria, 214 nucleotides. RefSeq lists it as uncharacterized. The transcript is spliced from 3 exons. The record is from RefSeq and is a predicted model, not a curated record. Lineage: Eukaryota; Metazoa; Arthropoda; Branchiopoda; Diplostraca; Daphniidae.
UUCUAUGCUUGAAAAAUCUGAUCUUAUGAUUCGAACUUAUACUAAGUUCAGAAAUAAAAGUAAGAAAAUUUAAGCUAGAAUACGUGUUUAUUGAAAAGACGAACUUACAUUUUUUCCUAGCUUACGUGAGAAAAUUUUUUAAGAAAUUUUAGUAAGUUUAAGACCAGAAUUUAAGCCAAGGCUAGAAUACGGCCCCUGCAGCAAAAUAUUUUUU